CGGCUUACCAUGCAAGUCGAACGGUGAAGCAGAGCUUGCUCUGUGGAUCAGUGGCGAACGGGUGAGUAACACGUGAGCAACCUGCCCCUGACUCUGGGAUAAGCGCUGGAAACGGCGUCUAAUACUGGAUAUGAGCUGCGACCGCAUGGUCAGCAGUUGGAAAGAUUUUUCGGUCUGGGAUGGGCUCACGGCCUAUCAGCUUGUUGGUGAGGUAAUGGCUCACCAAGGCGUCGACGGGUAGCCGGCCUGAGAGGGUGACCGGCCACACUGGGACUGAGACACGGCCCAGACUCCUACGGGAGGCAGCAGUGGGGAAUAUUGCACAAUGGGCGAAAGCCUGAUGCAGCAACGCCGCGUGAGGGAUGACGGCCUUCGGGUUGUAAACCUCUUUUAGCAGGGAAGAAGCGAAAGUGACGGUASCUGCAGAAAAAGCGCCGGCUAACUACGUGCCAGCAGCCGCGGUAAUACGUAGGGCGCAAGCGUUAUCCGGAAUUAUUGGGCGUAAAGAGCUCGUAGGCGGUUUGUCGCGUCUGCUGUGAAAUCCCGAGGCUCAACCUCGGGUCUGCAGUGGGUACGGGCAGACUAGAGUGCGGUAGGGGAGAUUGGAAUUCCUGGUGUAGCGGUGGAAUGCGCAGAUAUCAGGAGGAACACCGAUGGCGAAGGCAGAUCUCUGGGCCGUUACUGACGCUGAGGAGCGAAAGGGUGGGGAGCAAACAGGCUUAGAUACCCUGGUAGUCCACCCCGUAAACGUUGGGAACUAGUUGUGGGGUCCAUUCCACGGAUUCCGUGACGCAGCUAACGCAUUAAGUUCCCCGCCUGGGGAGUACGGCCGCAAGGCUAAAACUCAAAGGAAUUGACGGGGACCCGCACAAGCGGCGGAGCAUGCGGAUUAAUUCGAUGCAACGCGAAGAACCUUACCAAGGCUUGACAUAUACGAGAACGGGCCAGAAAUGGUCAACUCUUUGGACACUCGUAAACAGGUGGUGCAUGGUUGUCGUCAGCUCGUGUCGUGAGAUGUUGGGUUAAGUCCCGCAACGAGCGCAACCCUCGUUCUAUGUUGCCAGCACGUAAUGGUGGGAACUCAUGGGAUACUGCCGGGGUCAACUCGGAGGAAGGUGGGGAUGACGUCAAAUCAUCAUGCCCCUUAUGUCUUGGGCUUCACGCAUGCUACAAUGGCCGGUACAAAGGGCUGCAAUACCGCGAGGUGGAGCGAAUCCCAAAAAGCCGGUCCCAGUUCGGAUUGAGGUCUGCAACUCGACCUCAUGAAGUCGGAGUCGCUAGUAAUCGCAGAUCAGCAACGCUGCGGUGAAUACGUUCCCGGGUCUUGUACACACCGCCCGUCAAGUCAUGAAAGUCGGUAACACCUGAAGCCGGUGGCCCAACCCUUGUGGAGGGAGCCGUCGAAGGUGGAUGAU
Molecule: ribosomal RNA, 1415 nt
Filed under: Microbacterium oleivorans
Lineage: Bacteria; Bacillati; Actinomycetota; Actinomycetes; Micrococcales; Microbacteriaceae
Description: bacterial SSU rRNA
Source: RNAcentral